AAUGCGAUACGUAAUGUGAAUUGCAAAUUCAGUGAAUCAUCGAGUCUUUGAACGCACAUUGCGCCCCCUGGUAUUCCGGGGGGCAUGCCUGUCCGAGCGUCAUUUCUGCCCUCAAGCACGGCAUGUGUGUUGGGCCCCGUCCUCCGAUCCCGGGGGACGGGCCCGAAAGGCAGCGGCGGCACCGCGUCCGGUCCUCGAGCGUAUGGGGCUUUGUCACCCGCUCUGUAGGCCCGGCCGGCGCUUGCCGAUCAACCCAAAUUUUUAUCCAGGUUGACCUCGGAUCAGGUAGGGAUACCCGCUGAACUUAAGC
Molecule: unclassified non-coding RNA, 310 nt
Filed under: plant metagenome
Description: partial contains 5.8S ribosomal RNA, internal transcribed spacer 2, and large subunit ribosomal RNA
Rfam family: 5.8S ribosomal RNA (bases 1-102)
Source: RNAcentral